RNAcentral lists this ribosomal RNA (305 nucleotides) under uncultured bacterium. Its description in RNAcentral is "bacterial SSU rRNA". It matches the Rfam family "Bacterial small subunit ribosomal RNA", at positions 333 to 655 of the family's 1533-position model. The record is from RNAcentral.
UGCCACCUACGGGAGGCAGCAGUGGGGGAUAUUGCACAAUGGGGGAAACCCUGAUGCAGCGACGCCGCGUGUGGGAAGACGGUCCUCUGGAUUGUAAACCACUGUCCCCAGGGACGAAGAUGACGGUACCUGGGGAGGAAGCUCCGGCUAACUACGUGCCAGCAGCCGCGGUAAUACGUAGGGAGCGAGCGUUGUCCGGAUUUAUUGGGUUUAAAGGGUGCGUAGGCGGGCUUUUAAGUCAGCGGUAAAAAUUCGGGGCUCAACCCCGUCCGGUCGUUGAAACUGGGGGCCUUGAGUGGGCGAGA